Molecule: ribosomal RNA, 261 nt
Filed under: uncultured archaeon
Lineage: Archaea
Description: partial 16S ribosomal RNA
Rfam family: Archaeal small subunit ribosomal RNA
Source: RNAcentral
CACUGACAUUAGAUACCCCGGUAGUCCCAGCCGUAAACAAUGUGCGUUAGGUGUGUCGGUAACCACGUGUUACUGAUGCGCCGAAGAGAAAUCGUGAAACGCACCACCUGGGAAGUACGGUCGCAAGGCUGAAACUUAAAGGAAUUGGCGGGGAGCACCACAACAGGUGGAGCCUGCGGUUUAAUUGGAUUCAACGCCGGACAUCUCACCGGAUAAGACAGCUGAAUGAUUGUCAAUCUGAAGGUUUUACAUGACUAGCUG